AAAUCAAGCUUCAAACCUUCAAAAUUUCUUAGAGAUUUUUAGUGAACCAAUAGAGGAAUAAUAUAGAGAGAGUCUAGUUUCAUAUGGAGACGAGUUAUGUUCAUGUUGGAGGAGAGAAAAAAUCAAGCUAGGAUUUGAAAUCAAGAGAACAAGAAAGAAAUUGAAAAGGUGAAUCACGUGAUAAGGAGAAGGGGAAAACAAGUGGUUCAACGUUGGAUAUAGGUGAAAUAUUAAACUUAAGCCUUUGAAAGAAGAUCGUCAUCAACAUAUCUCAUCACAUCAUCAAGGCUUAGGAGAAAGAGUAUGAAAUUUAACUCAUGGUAUGGAUUAUGGCAUGUACAUAAGCCCAAUUCGAGUAUCUAUAUCUUAAUGCAAGUGAAAGUACUUAGAGAAGCUUAAAUGUUUUGAUGGC
Long non-coding RNA from Gossypium arboreum, 412 nucleotides. RefSeq lists it as uncharacterized. The transcript is spliced from 3 exons. Lineage: Eukaryota; Viridiplantae; Streptophyta; Magnoliopsida; Malvales; Malvaceae. The record is from RefSeq and is a predicted model, not a curated record.